This 431-nucleotide ribosomal RNA is filed under the name uncultured bacterium. Its description in RNAcentral is "partial 16S ribosomal RNA". It matches the Rfam family "Bacterial small subunit ribosomal RNA", at positions 29 to 507 of the family's 1533-position model. The record is from RNAcentral.
AACGAACGCUGGCGGCAGGCCUAACACAUGCAAGUCGAGCGCCCUUUCGGGGGAGCGGCGGACGGGUGAGUACCGCGUGGGAAUAUGCCCUUCUCUACGGAAUAUCCUCGGGAAACUGAGAGUAAUACCGUAUACGCCCUGUGGUGGAAAGAUUUAUCGGGGAAGGAUUAGCCCGCGUUGGAUUAGGUAGUUGGUGGGGUAAUGGCCUACCAAGCCGACGAUCCAUAGCUGGUUUGAGAGGAUGAUCAGCCACACUGGGACUGAGACACGGCCCAGACUCCUACGGGAGGCAGCAGUGGGGAAUCUUAGACAAUGGGGGCAACCCUGAUCUAGCCAUGCCGCGUGAGUGAUGAAGGCCUUAGGGUUGUAAAGCUCUUUCAGCUGGGAAGAUAAUGACGGUACCAGCAGAAGAAGCCCCGGCUAACUCCGUG